RNAcentral lists this ribosomal RNA (315 nucleotides) under uncultured bacterium. RNAcentral's name for it is "bacterial SSU rRNA". It matches the Rfam family "Bacterial small subunit ribosomal RNA", at positions 28 to 334 of the family's 1533-position model. The record is from RNAcentral.
GAUGAACGCUAGCGGCAGGCCUAAUACAUGCAAGUCGAACGGGAUCCGGUGCGUAGCUUGCUACAAUCCGGUGAGAGUGGCGAAUGGGUGCGUAACGCGUGAGCAACCUACCCUUAUCUGGGGGAUAGCCCGGCGAAAGUCGGAUUAACACCGCAUAACAUCACUGAGUGGCAUCAUUUAGUGAUCAAAUAUUUAUAGGAUAAGGAUGGGCUCGCGUGACAUUAGCUAGUUGGUAAGGUAACGGCUUACCAAGGCUUCGAUGUCUAGGGGCUCUGAGAGGAGAAUCCCCCACACCGGUACUGAGACACGGACCAG